CCAAGGUUUAGUCAGAAUGCUGUUCUCAGGAGGAGUCUGGGUUGUGACUGCCUCUCCUCAGCAAGGAGGGUAGAAAGCAGUCUUCAGCCUGAGACCCAUCCCUAGGAAUCAAACUUGAAUUAUGGAGCCAAUGAAAGACUCUUGAAAACUGGCCUCAUACCAUGUCUACACAGUCCCUGUACAGGAGUCCUGACCUGGGGUAAGUAACAAAUGUCACUUUCCCAUAGGACCAGGAGCCCCAAGUUUAUCUUGGAACCUCAAGAGAAGAUGAAUUUAUGCAUAUCAUAGGUAUUUGGUGGUACAAAUCCAUGGCUAGGCUCAUGGAAUAACUCUGUAAAAAAAGUUAUUCUUGUUGCACUGUAUGCAAA
Molecule: non-coding RNA, 368 nt
Organism: Callithrix jacchus (white-tufted-ear marmoset)
Lineage: Eukaryota; Metazoa; Chordata; Mammalia; Primates; Cebidae
Source: RefSeq, a predicted model, not a curated record